UACGGAGGAUGCAAGCGUUAUCGGGAAUGAUUGGGCGUAAAGCGUCCGCAGGUGGCACUUCAAGUCUGUCGUCAAAGACUGGGGCUUAACCCUGGAAAGGCGGUGGAAACUGAAGCGCUAGAGUGCGGUAGGGGUAGAGGGAAUUCCCGGUGUAGCGGUGAAAUGCGUAGAGAUCGGGAAGAACAUCGGUGGCGAAAGCGCUCUACUGGACCGCAACUGACACUCAGGGACGAAAGCUAGGGGAGCGAAUGGG
This 253-nucleotide ribosomal RNA is filed under the name uncultured bacterium. Its description in RNAcentral is "partial 16S ribosomal RNA". It matches the Rfam family "Bacterial small subunit ribosomal RNA", at positions 524 to 776 of the family's 1533-position model. The record is from RNAcentral.